This 253-nucleotide ribosomal RNA is filed under the name uncultured Blautia sp. RNAcentral's name for it is "partial 16S ribosomal RNA". It matches the Rfam family "Bacterial small subunit ribosomal RNA", at positions 524 to 776 of the family's 1533-position model. The record is from RNAcentral. Lineage: Bacteria; Bacillati; Bacillota; Clostridia; Lachnospirales; Lachnospiraceae.
UACGUAGGUGGCAAGCGUUAUCCGGAUUUACUGGGUGUAAAGGGCGUGUAGGCGGGACUGCAAGUCAGAUGUGAAAGCCCGGGGCUCAACCCCGGGACUGCAUUUGGAACUGUAUGGCUGGAGUGUCGGAGAGGCAGGCGGAAUUCCUAGUGUAGCGGUGAAAUGCGUAGAUAUUAGGAGGAACACCAGUGGCGAAGGCGGCCUGCUGGACGAUGACUGACGUUGAGGCUCGAAAGUGUGGGGAGCAAACAGG